RNAcentral lists this ribosomal RNA (497 nucleotides) under uncultured bacterium. Its description in RNAcentral is "partial 16S ribosomal RNA". It matches the Rfam family "Bacterial small subunit ribosomal RNA", at positions 28 to 507 of the family's 1533-position model. The record is from RNAcentral.
GAUGAACGCUGGCGGCAUGCCUAACACAUGCAAGUCGAGCGAAUGGAUGGGGAGUUCUCGUGGAUGAGGUUGGCGGCGGUCGGGUGAUUCCCACGUGUAUGACCUAACUAGAAGACUGGGGUACUGACACGGGAUCGGAUCUAACAACCGACAAUAUUUUGAACGUGGUGGUUCUAAAGUGAAAGACGGUAUUGCUGAGACUAAUAGAUGGUCCCGCGUUGGAUGAGUUAGUGGGUAAGGAGACGGCUUACCAAGGCUACGAUGCAUAGCCGACCUGAGAGGGUGAUCAGCCACACUGUAACUGAGACACGGUCCAGACUCCUACGGGAGGCAGCAGUCGGGAAUCUUACGCAAUGGGCGAAAGCCUGACAUAGCAACGCCGCGUGAGUGAUGAAGGUCUUCGGAUCGUAAAGCUCUGUAAGUAGGGAGGAAGUAAAGUGUGUUUACCCGUGACCAUCUUGACGGUACCUAAAGAAUAAGCCCCGGCUAACUCCGUG